CGGGCUGUAGUAUAACGGUUAUUAUGCUGGGCUGGGGGUCCAGUGACCCGGGUUCGAUUCCCGGCAGCCCGACCA
Molecule: transfer RNA, 75 nt
Filed under: Candidatus Spechtbacteria bacterium RIFCSPLOWO2_01_FULL_46_10
Lineage: Bacteria; Candidatus Spechtiibacteriota
Description: tRNA-Pro
Rfam family: tRNA
About the family: Transfer RNA (tRNA) molecules are approximately 80 nucleotides in length. Their secondary structure includes four short double-helical elements and three loops (D, anti-codon, and T loops). Further hydrogen bonds mediate the characteristic L-shaped molecular structure. tRNAs have two regions of fundamental functional importance: the anti-codon, which is responsible for specific mRNA codon recognition, and the 3' end, to which the tRNAs corresponding amino acid is attached (by aminoacyl-tRNA synthetases). tRNAs cope with the degeneracy of the genetic code in two manners: having more than one tRNA (with a specific anti-codon) for a particular amino acid; and 'wobble' base-pairing, i.e. permitting non-standard base-pairing at the 3rd anti-codon position.
Source: RNAcentral